RNAcentral lists this long non-coding RNA (252 nucleotides) under Nicotiana benthamiana. RNAcentral describes it as "long non-coding RNA (NBEN_LNC020856)". Lineage: Eukaryota; Viridiplantae; Streptophyta; Magnoliopsida; Solanales; Solanaceae. The record is from RNAcentral.
CCUAUUGUGCAUUUUAACUUUAUAACCGCUUUUAAUUAUUUUAAACUGCUUUUAGGAUUUAUGAAAUUAUUUCUUGAACAAGUUACGAUUGUCGUACACUUGUUUGUUUUAGAACACACCGCGAACCACGCUACAUGAAAUGCACCCUCGAUUCACGACAUGUUUAUUCUAUGAAUAUUCGAAGUUGUUAUGAUCGGGUUACAUGAAAUGCAUCCCGAAUUCGGGAUUUAGGUAUCAUGACUAUGCCACGGG